AAAAGCGUAACAGCUCACUGGUCUAGCGAUUCUGCGCCGAAAAUAUAACGGGGCUAAAAUAGACACCGAAGUCGUAGAUUUGUACUGAUGUACAAGUGGUAGGAGAGCGUUCGUAUCAGCGUUGAAGGUAUACCGGUAAGGAGUGCUGGAGCGAUACGAAGUGAGCAUGCAGGCAUGAGUAGCGAUAAAAGAGGUGAGAAUCCUCUUCGCCGCAAACCCAAGGUUUCCUACACUAUGCUCGUCAUUGUAGGGUUAGUCUGGUCCUAAGCUGAGUCCGAAAGGGGUAGGCGAUGGCAAAUUGGUUAAUAUUCCAAUACUAACAAAUAAGCGCGAUGGGGGGACGCAUAGGGUUAAACGAGCUCACUGAUGGAAUAGUGGGUCGAAGGGCGUAGAUUGGCCGGAUAGGAAAAUCCGCUGGCUGUAUUCGAGACCUGACGGGCUAUGAAUGUUCUUCGGAACUGAAGUAGAAUCGUUGAUACCGUCG
RNAcentral lists this ribosomal RNA (484 nucleotides) under uncultured Campylobacterota bacterium. Its description in RNAcentral is "bacterial LSU rRNA". It matches the Rfam family "Bacterial large subunit ribosomal RNA", at positions 1128 to 1605 of the family's 2925-position model. Lineage: Bacteria; Pseudomonadati; Campylobacterota. The record is from RNAcentral.